This 1903-nucleotide ribosomal RNA is filed under the name human gut metagenome. RNAcentral describes it as "bacterial LSU rRNA". It matches the Rfam family "Bacterial large subunit ribosomal RNA", at positions 3 to 1991 of the family's 2925-position model. The record is from RNAcentral.
UCAAGCUAGAAAGAGCGCAAGGGGAAUGCCUUGGCAUCAGGAGCCGAAGAAGGACGUGACAAGCUGCGAUAAGCUGCGGUGAGCUGCACAUAAGCUUUGACCCGCAGAUUUCCGAAUGGGGAAACCCGGCAGAGCAAUACUCUGUCAGCGUGCGUUGAAUCAAAUAGGCGUACGUGGGGAACCGCCUGAACUGAAACAUCUAAGUAGGGCGAGGAAGAGAAAUCAACCGAGAUUCCGCUAGUAGUGGCGAGCGAACGCGGAAGAGGCCAAACCGAAGGUAGCAAUAUCUUCGGGGUUAGGACUGCAAUAUGUAACUUUAAUCUUUAACUGAAUGCUUUGGGAAGAGCAGCGAUACAGGGUGAUAGCCCCGUAAGUGAAAAGGAUUGAGUGCUAGCAGUAUCCAGAGUACCAGCGGACACGUGAAACCCGCUGGGAAGAUGGGGGGACCAUCCUCCAAGCCUAAAUACUACUCAGUGACCGAUAGUGGAGCAGUACCGUGAGGGAAAGGUGAAAAGUACCCCGGGAGGGGAGUGAAAGAGAACCUGAAACCUUGUGCCUACAAGCACCGAGAGCACGUUAAAGUGUGAUCGGGUACUUUUUGUAGAACGGUCCGGCGAGUUAAUAUUUGCAGCGAGGUUAAGUAACUGGAGUUACGGAGCCGCAGCGAGAGCGAGUCUGAAUAGGGCGUAUGAAGUUGCAGGUAUUAGACCCGAAACCGGGUGACCUAUCCAUGAGCAGGCUGAAGCGGUGGUAAGACACCGUGGAGGGCCGCACCCACGUCUGUUGAAAAAGCCGGGGAUGACUUGUGGAUAGCGGAGAAAUUCCAAUCGAACUCGGAGAUAGCUGGUUCUCCCCGAAAUAGCUUUAGGGCUAGCGUUAUCUUAGUUUACCGGAGGUAAAGCACUGAAUGGGCUAGGGGCCGAUAAGGUUACUGAACCCUAUCAAACUCUGAAUGCCGGAUAAUUGAUGGCCAGCAGUCAGUCUACGUGAGAUAAGUCUCGUGGACAAAAGGGAAACAGCCCAGACCCACAGCUAAGGUCCCAAAGAUACGCUAAGUGGAAAACGAUGUGGAGUUGCGAAAACAACCAGGAUGUUGGCUUAGAAGCAGCCACUCAUUAAAAGAGUGCGUAAUAGCUCACUGGUCGAGUGACUCUGCGCGGAAAAUGUAACGGGGCUAAGCAUCUAACCGAAGCUUAGGAUUGUCGUAAGACAGUGGUAGGGGAGCGUUCCAUGUGGGGUGAAGUCGUAGCGGAAGCAGCGGUGGACUGCAUGGAAGUGAGAAUGCCGGAAUGAGUAGCGAGAAUUAUGUGGGAAUCAUAAUGGCCGAAAAUCUAAGGUUUCUUGGGGAAGGUUCGUCCGCCCAAGGUAAGUCGGGAGCUAAGGCGAGGCCGAGAGGCGUAGUCGAUGCACAUACGGUAGAAAUUCCGUAACCACCGAAACUUAAGUUAGAGGGACACUUCGAGAUAGCGGAACCGCGGCGUUGGUAGACCGCGGCGAAAGGGACUGAAAUAUAGUAGGGAAGUCCGCGAUGCUCGGAGGCGAGAAAAGCUCUAAGGAAUGCUAAGGUGCCCGUACCGCAAACCGACACAGGUAGAUGAGGAGAGAAUCCUAAGGCCAACGGGAGAAGGGUUGUUAAGGAACUCGGCAAGUUGACCCCGUAACUUCGGAAUAAGGGGAGCCUCGCAAGAGGCCGCAGUGAAAAGGCCCAAGCAACUGUUUACCAAAAACACAGGUCUAUGCUAAAUCGAAAGAUGACGUAUAUGGGCUGACGCCUGCCCGGUGCCGGAAGGUUAAGAGGAGAUGUCAGGCAACGAAGCAUCGAAUUGAAGCCCCGGUAAACGGCGGCCGUAACUAUAACGGUCCUAAGGUAGCGAAAUUCCUUGUCAGGUAAGUUCUGACCCGC